Molecule: long non-coding RNA, 563 nt
Organism: Dreissena polymorpha
Lineage: Eukaryota; Metazoa; Mollusca; Bivalvia; Myida; Dreissenidae
Exons: 2
Source: RefSeq, a predicted model, not a curated record
AUCUAGUCUAGAACGUUGCUAACAUAGUGUUACACUGCGUACCAUUGCCAGCCAUGUAUUUAAUAUCUCUCGUCGUCAUGACAAUCGUGGUCCCCGCCUGUUUCGAGGCAACGGAGAUAGCCUUUGACCGUUGUCAAAAAGAUGGACAUGACUUUCCGUUGGGCCCCUUCAUGGACCCGGCGAACCCUUGCCGCACGUGCCAGUGCCUGCUAGGGGGCCACUAUGCCUGCAGUAACAUCGAGUGCCCGGCAGUGGACUGCCCCGCCGAUGUACAGGCCCGUAGCGUAGGUGGUUGCUGCAUGGAAUGCCUGGGUGCGAGCCCCAAGUAAUAGAUGGCUUGGAUCAUGCGACAUAAUGGGUGGAUGGCAAGGCAUUGAUUGAAAAGAAACCAGCAACAGAAGACUGUUGUAUUGUUCAAUAUUCUAAGAAUAUGUUAUUACUUAUUUGUUAAUGGCAAACACCACAAUAACAUAAUCUCAGAAAAUGCAAUAUAAUAUUAAUCUAUUUUGUUUGGUACAGUUUUGUUCGAAAAUAUUGUAUUUCGAAUAAAACUAAAAGUUUAA